UUUAAAAACGAAAAUUUGAACAAGUGAUAGGUGUUUGAGGGAGAGAAUGGAUGGAGAGAUAUGGGAAUAAAUGGAAAGGGUUACAAGGCAGAAAAAGGGAGAGGAAUUGGACGGCCUUCUAGGGGACUAUGGUGUUAAACUAAAAACCUUCCUAAGGAAAUAUGUGUUGUUGUUUCUAGUGUGUGGAUAAACUUUGUGUGGGUAUGUGGCCAGCUGGUGGUUGGAAAGUGUGAAAAUGGUGUACCUAAUCUACCGUAUUAUUAACAAUUGUGUAUUGCAUUUGUAUGUUGUAUGUUGUGUUAAUAGUUAUGUGUAUGUGAGUGGUCAAAUAUGGGUUAGAUUUCACAUCAUUUCCUUGUCACAUUGUCUGUUGAUUUUCUUUACUGUGUAAUGCAUUAACCUGAUGUAGGUUAUUAAAUGUGUUACAUAAGUGGAUGGCCAACUUGUGGUCGGAAUGAGUGUGACACUGGGAUAUUGAAUAUACUACUGCCUAUUUACUAAUCUGGACAAACCGUCUAUAAAACUGAAUGUUGUGAUGGGUUGUGUGAGUGGCCGAACAACGAUCAUCUAUGUAAGAGACUAAAAUGACAUCGUUCUGGGAGACCCCAAAAUGGCACCGUUUUAGGCAAAAACAAAUAGAGGCAUGUUUACCUCUGGUCAGGAAAGAUGAAGAGGCAAAAGUGUGUAUGCCUCUACCACCGGCCGAAAAGAAAAAAGAUGAGACCUGCACGUCAAGGAAGAAGGGUCAUGUAGGACUCUUUCUUCCCUUCCCUAUAAAACGCAAAGAGAGGGAAGGAAAUCGGUGCAGGAAGAGAGAGAGAAAUAUAGAGAGAGAGAGAGAGGAAUAUAGAGAGAAGGGCUAUGGUUACCAUCAAUUUGCAACCGAGAGAGGAGAGGAAGAAGAAAAAAAAAGGCAGAGGAGAGGCUAGUGCUACGCGCAAUGGUGCACAUGAGAAGAAGAUGACCUGUGCAGCAACUUGACGUGUGUUUUGUUGUUCUGCUGCUCCCUUCAGCGCGAUUCCACUAGAUCUGUGUCAGAUAUGAGGGCGCGAAGUGUUUUAUGGUGAAUUUCGGCCAAUCCAUAGCGAUGAUUGGUGGCGAACGGCAGCGGCGCAUGGCGAUCUGGUGGAGGUGCGUAUGGAGGCACGCGGACUUCUGAUGGUUUUACGCAGUGAGUCCUUGGAACCCAGUUCGAGUAAGUGAGUUCAAAAAACCCUAAUGGUUUACUGUUUUACAUUUAGGGUUAAUUAAUCCUAUUUAAUUUUAAUGCAAUAAAUUGUUUAUCCAGUUUAGAAUUAGGGAUAAGUCUAGACACGGAUGUUUGAAAUUAGGGGAUAACCAAUUC
This 1345-nucleotide long non-coding RNA is filed under the name Carica papaya (papaya). RNAcentral describes it as "long non-coding RNA (CPAP_LNC002486)". The record is from RNAcentral. Lineage: Eukaryota; Viridiplantae; Streptophyta; Magnoliopsida; Brassicales; Caricaceae.